CAUUACAGAGUUCAUGCCCUUCGGGGUAGAUCUCCCACCCGUGUCAUCACACCUUUGUUGCUUUGGCGGGCCCGCCUCGGCCACCGGCUCCGGCUGGUGAGCGCCCGCCAGAGGACCCCAAACUCUGAAAUUUAGUGUCGUCUGAGUACUAUAUAAUAGUUAAAACUUUCAACAACGGAUCUCUUGGUUCUGGCAUCGAUGAAGAACGCAGCGAAAUGCGAUAAGUAAUGUGAAUUGCAGAAUUCAGUGAAUCAUCGAAUCUUUGAACGCACAUUGCGCCCCUUGGUAUUCCGGGGGGCAUGCCUGUUCGAGCGUCAUUACAACCCUCAAGCUCUGCUUGGUAUUGGGCGUCCCCGGCGACGGGGUGCCCUAAAAUCAGUGGCGGUGCCGUCUGGCUCUAAGCGUAGUAAAUCUCUCGCUCUGGAUGCCCGGUGGAUGCUCGCCAGAACCCCCCAUUUU
Molecule: unclassified non-coding RNA, 459 nt
Filed under: Phlyctema vagabunda
Lineage: Eukaryota; Fungi; Ascomycota; Leotiomycetes; Helotiales; Dermateaceae
Description: sequence contains 18S rRNA gene, ITS1, 5.8S rRNA gene and ITS2
Rfam family: 5.8S ribosomal RNA (bases 164-317)
Source: RNAcentral